RNAcentral lists this long non-coding RNA (289 nucleotides) under Carica papaya (papaya). RNAcentral describes it as "long non-coding RNA (CPAP_LNC011610)". Lineage: Eukaryota; Viridiplantae; Streptophyta; Magnoliopsida; Brassicales; Caricaceae. The record is from RNAcentral.
GUUUUACUGUGCCUGGUGUAUUUUCCUCUCGAGCCCUUGUACUCUCUUUUCUCUUCUUUCUAAAUAUUCCUCACAAGCCCUUUUGACUUUUGUUUUAUUCUCGUGUACCUCUCGUGGUGAAAGAGGUCUGAAGAGUUGGGUGAAAGAAGCCUGAAGACAUGGGUGAGGUUGUCUUUUUACAAUGAAUAGUAGUUGGUCAAACCAUGGUGUUGUACUUGCUUAUCAAAUUGUUAAGGUUUGCCAAGGAUCACUUGGCCAGCAUGCAUAGGUACAACAUCAUAACAUACUU